This 256-nucleotide ribosomal RNA is filed under the name uncultured bacterium. Its description in RNAcentral is "partial 16S ribosomal RNA". It matches the Rfam family "Bacterial small subunit ribosomal RNA", at positions 15 to 258 of the family's 1533-position model. The record is from RNAcentral.
GAUCCUGGCUCAGGAUGAACGCUAGCUACAGGCUUAACACAUGCAAGUCGAGGGGCAUCAGUUUGGUUUGCUUGCAAACCAAAGCUGGCGACCGGCGCACGGGUGAGUAACACGUAUCCAACCUGCCUCAGUACUCGGGGAUAGCCUUUCGAAAGAAAGAUUAAUAUCCGAUAAGCAUAUAUUUCCCGCAUGGGUUUUAUAUUAAAGAAAUUCGGUAAUGAGAUGGGGAUGCGUUCCAUUAGUUUGUUGGGGGGGG